UCUCUGUCUUGAAGAGAUGUAGUAGCACACAAGCCAAGAGUGUACUAUAGACAUGGGGCCGUGCAAGGUGCAAUGAAAACACUUUUAUUUUAUAAGCCAACAGGAUACACCAUUUGCUCUGCUCUGUCCUUUUGCUUAGAUGACAAAUUCUAUCUAGUAAUUUGAAUGUCAGAUUUUUUUAAAAGUUAAUUAUUUGGAAGACAGAGUGACACAGAGAGAGAAAUACAGAUAAAGAGAGAAAAGUCUUCUAUCCUUGGGUUUACUCCCUGAAUGGCCACAACCACCAGGGCUGGGCCAGGCCAAAGUCAGUAACUCCAUCUCUGUUUCCUACAUGGUUUGCAGGGUCCCAAGUGCUUGGAGCAACUCCUGCUGGGUUUAUAGGUGCAUUAGCACAGAGCUGGGUCAGAAAUGCAGCAUCCAGGACUCAGACUGGAUCUCUGACAUGGGAUGCCAGUGUUUCAAGUGGUGAUACAACUCCUGCCAGAAAUUUUUGAAGUUCUGAAAAACUUGAGAGAUAUUGUUUUUUGUUUGUUUGUUUGUUUUUGUUGUUUGUUUGUUUGUUUUUGUUCUUUUUUUUUUUUGACAGGCAGAGUGGACAAUGAGAGAGAGAGAGACAAAGAGAAAGGUCUUUCCUUUUCCGUCGGUUCACCCCGCAAUGGCCGCUGCAGCCGGCGCACCGCGCUGAUCCGAUGGCAGGAGCCAGGUGCUUCUCCUGGUCUGCCAUGCGGGUGUAGGGCCCAAGCACUUGGGCCAUCCUCCACUGCACUCCCGGGCCACAGCAGAGAGCUGGACUGGAAGAGGAGCAACGAGGACAGAAUCUGGCGCCCCGACCAGGACUAGAACCCGGUGUGCUGGCACCACAGGUGGAGAAUUAGCCUAUUGAGCCGUGGCGCCAGCCAAGAGAGAUAUUGGUUUUUAAAAGCACUAUGAAAUUAUGAUAUUUAAUGAAAAUAUUUAUACUCUAUAAACAAUUACUUUGAUGGCCUACCUAUUUCAAGUGGCUACUGCUGCACAGAAUGAACUUAUAUGUGAUUUAUACUGUUUCAUAGUGCAACCGCCUCUUGUUUGUGAAUUUCAGUAUCAUUUUCUAAACCCAGUAGACAUUGUGUUAUAUUUUCCAAAUGAGUUUCCAAAACUUGUUGAUUUUAACAAUAUUUCUUUCUAACAACCUUUUUCUGGAAAGAAUAUUUCCUUUACCAUUAAAAAAGUAUGUAUUUGCUGUUCUCAUCUUGGCUGAUUUCAUACGGGGUUUUCCCUAUUGUAGAAUGACUACAAACCUCAAAUAUGGCCAAGGGUAAAUGAAUACUGGCCAAUUUGGUUAGCUAAAAUAUAACUUCAUGUACAAAACAUCAACUUUUUAAAUUGGUUUUCAAUGAUUCCUUCAGUAGGAUGUGUGAAUAUUCAACAAACGCCAUCAGUAUUAUGGGUAUAGAUCACCUGGCACAUUGUAAGUGGUAAAUGAACUUUGUUGAAUGAAAUACCCAGGAUGUUAUGGAGGAACCUCACAGGCAUAAUGCAACAAUGUAGAACUAAAAAGAAACUAAAUAAAAAGAGCUACAAAAAGUUACA
Molecule: long non-coding RNA, 1569 nt
Organism: Oryctolagus cuniculus (rabbit)
Lineage: Eukaryota; Metazoa; Chordata; Mammalia; Lagomorpha; Leporidae
Source: Ensembl